This 253-nucleotide ribosomal RNA is filed under the name uncultured bacterium. Its description in RNAcentral is "partial 16S ribosomal RNA". It matches the Rfam family "Bacterial small subunit ribosomal RNA", at positions 524 to 776 of the family's 1533-position model. The record is from RNAcentral.
UACGUAGGGGGCGAGUGUUGUCCGGAUUUAUUGGGCGUAAAGAGCGUGUAGGCGGCCAGGUAGGUCUGCUGUGAAAACUCGAGGCUCAACCUCGAGACGUCGGCGGAAACCAUCUGGCUAGAGUCCGGAAGAGGAGAGUGGAAUUCCUGGUGUAGCGGUGAAAUGCGCAGAUAUCAGGAAGAACACCCGUGGCGAAGGCGGCUCUCUGGGACGGUACUGACGCUGAGACGCGAAAGCGUGGGGAGCGAACAGG